CCUACGGGUGGCUGCAGUGGGGAAUAUUGCACAAUGGGCGCAAGCCUGAUGCAGCCAUGCCGCGUGUGUGAAGAAGGCCUUCGGGUUGUAAAGCACUUUCAGCGGGGAGGAAGGCGUUAAGGUUAAUAACCUUGUCGAUUGACGUUACCCGCCGAAGAAGCACCGGCUAACUCCGUGCCAGCAGCCGCGGUAAUACGGAGGGUGCAAGCGUUAAUCGGAAUUACUGGGCGUAAAGCGCACGCAGGCGGUCUGUCAAGUCGGAUGUGAAAUCCCCGGGCUCAACCUGGGAACUGCAUUCGAAACUGGCAGGCUAGAGUCUUGUAGAGGGGGGUAGAAUUCCAGGUGUAGCGGUGAAAUGCGUAGAGAUCUGGAGGAAUACCGGUGGCGAAGGCGGCCCCCUGGACAAAGACUGACGCUCAGGUGCGAAAACGUGGGGAGCAAACAGGAUUAGAUACCCCAGUAGUC
This 465-nucleotide ribosomal RNA is filed under the name uncultured Klebsiella sp. Its description in RNAcentral is "bacterial SSU rRNA". It matches the Rfam family "Bacterial small subunit ribosomal RNA", at positions 338 to 795 of the family's 1533-position model. The record is from RNAcentral. Lineage: Bacteria; Pseudomonadati; Pseudomonadota; Gammaproteobacteria; Enterobacterales; Enterobacteriaceae.